UGAGUUGGCUGGGUGAUCGCGGCAACAAUCGGCGUUGUGCAGUUCGCAGCGGUGGUGUUGUCGAGGAAAGUCCGGACUCCAUAGGGCAGGGUGGUUGCUAACAGCAACCCGGGGUGACCCGCGGGACAGUGCCACAGAAAACAGACCGCCACGCCUAUGCGUGGUAAGGGUGAAACGGUGGUGUAAGAGACCACCAGCGCUCUCGGUGACGGGAGCGGCUUGGUAAACCCCGCUCGGAGCAAGGUCAUAAGAGUCGCCAUUGGCGGCUUGCGCGGAUGUUUGAGGGCGGCCCGCCUGAGUUCGCGGGUAGACCGCAUGAGCUCGCUGGCAACAGCGAGCCUAGAUGGAUGAUCGCCGGCCGCGGCAGUGCCGUAAGGCGCCGCGGUGUCACAGAAUCCGGCUUACAGGCCAACUCAUCCG
This 420-nucleotide RNase P RNA is filed under the name Mycobacteriales bacterium. RNAcentral's name for it is "RNase P RNA component class A". It matches the Rfam family "Bacterial RNase P class A". Rfam says of the family: Ribonuclease P (RNase P) is a ubiquitous endoribonuclease, found in archaea, bacteria and eukarya as well as chloroplasts and mitochondria. Its best characterised activity is the generation of mature 5'-ends of tRNAs by cleaving the 5'-leader elements of precursor-tRNAs. Cellular RNase Ps are ribonucleoproteins. Lineage: Bacteria; Bacillati; Actinomycetota; Actinomycetes; Mycobacteriales. RNAcentral also lists the same sequence under 1 other name. The record is from RNAcentral.